GUUUAACUGGAUGUCCUGAAUGUUCUCUGGCCAACCUAGGAGAUGCAACUGGCAGACUAGAAAAUGAACUUCCAUGAGUAGGAUUUAUAUUCAGAAGAACGAAGUAGUAAGAAUAACUGGAGAAAUUUGCGGAUCAAAGGAUCAAAGAAGGACUCAGCUACUGCUACCUGACAUUAAAACAUUUCUAAAGCUGCUCUCCCUACACUGGAGUUGUAUUUGGGAGGAAGUUGGCAGAGAAAGCAACAAGGUGGGACUGAGAAACCAGAAGCACACUGCUGUCCAAGAUGCCACCCUACACACUGGGCCCAGCACAGAUCAGCAGGGAAAGGAAGCAUCACCCAAGACAAGGUGCUACGAACACGUUCUUCAGGAACUUUGAUGGCUCAAAUCGAAGAAGGUUUCAGGAAUGUCAAUGUCAGGACUUAAAGGUUUGCAUAUGAGAUUAUACAAAGAGAUGUGGGCUCAUAGAGGCAGAGUGCGACUCCCCAUAUGCAAUUGUGUGCAUGGAUGACGGCCAUGGACAAGUUUACAUACCUACGAGCUGGCUGUACAAAGUAUGGCAGACCUGCUAAAUUCACUUCUAUUUGACUUGCAUCGCAGAGACAGGAAGUGACCCUGCCCACCAGGAAAAAGUGAUGCAAUCAACUAUGAGAAUAGCCACCCUUCUUUUACUGGGGAAGGUAAAGGAAAGGGUGGCAAGAGAGGCCCAAAGAAUUCUCACCACCACUCCAUGCAGGAGAACAGAAGCCUGCAUCAGCAUCCUGUCAUCACUUCAUCCUCUAGGAAUCUUUGGUUCAUUUUGUUUUCUUACUUACUCAUAUCUAACUAUUUGUUCAUAUGAAAGUAUUGAUUGAAUGCUUCUGGUUAGACAUCAAGCUAUGGGAUGAGCUCAGUCUACUGGUUUUCAAGUGAUGGUGUCUCCAAAGAACGCUUCUAUAAAUGAAGUGAGAUUAAAGAAAGGUGAGUCCAGAUUUGGGGACAGAAGCUAGGGAUGGUUUAGCAGGCUAAGUUUCUACAGAACAACACAGCUCUCUUCUGGGUAUCUUACAAAUAAGAUUUCACUGAUUCCUCGGAGAACCCCAUGUAGGUAAGUGUAAUUCAAUAUGUGGAUGAAACAAGUGAGGUUUAGACCAGUUGAAUGAUUAGCCCCAGGUCACACUGCUUGCUAGAAGAUGAGCAGGAAUUAAAAUCCAUAUUUUCAUGGCCUUUCCUCCUUAACAUUCAUUUCCUGUCUGGUCUUUGCAUUUCUUCAGACUGGCCUAGAGGCAGAAAAGCCAAAGCUUAUUCUACUGUCCCUACAAAUGGCUAUUGUCACAAUUUUUGCCUGUUUUCAUUUCUUUUUUUUGCCUGACACUUUUUGGAAAAAUGUGUUCUCUUCUUCAAGUUGUCUGGAGCACCGAGUACAGAGAU
Heterocephalus glaber (naked mole-rat) is the source of this 1410-nucleotide long non-coding RNA. RefSeq lists it as uncharacterized. NCBI's taxonomy places the organism in Eukaryota, Metazoa, Chordata, Mammalia, Rodentia, Bathyergidae. The record is from RefSeq and is a predicted model, not a curated record.